RNAcentral lists this ribosomal RNA (451 nucleotides) under Pseudomonas aeruginosa. RNAcentral's name for it is "partial 23S ribosomal RNA". It matches the Rfam family "Bacterial large subunit ribosomal RNA", at positions 2476 to 2925 of the family's 2925-position model. The record is from RNAcentral. Lineage: Bacteria; Pseudomonadati; Pseudomonadota; Gammaproteobacteria; Pseudomonadales; Pseudomonadaceae.
AACAGGCUGAUACCGCCCAAGAGUUCAUAUCGACGGCGGUGUUUGGCACCUCGAUGUCGGCUCAUCACAUCCUGGGGCUGAAGUAGGUCCCAAGGGUAUGGCUGUUCGCCAUUUAAAGUGGUACGCGAGCUGGGUUUAGAACGUCGUGAGACAGUUCGGUCCCUAUCUGCCGUGGGCGCUGGAGAAUUGAGGGGGGCUGCUCCUAGUACGAGAGGACCGGAGUGGACGCAUCACUGGUGUUCGGGUUGUCAUGCCAAUGGCACUGCCCGGUAGCUAAAUGCGGAAGAGAUAAGUGCUGAAAGCAUCUAAGCACGAAACUUGCCCCGAGAUGAGUUCUCCCUGAGACUUUAAGUCUCCUGAAGGAACGUUAAAGACGAUGACGUUGAUAGGCCGGGUGUGUAAGCGCAGCGAUGCGUUGAGCUAACCGGUACUAAUGAACCGUGAGGCUUAA